Long non-coding RNA from Melitaea cinxia (Glanville fritillary), 101 nucleotides. RefSeq lists it as uncharacterized. The record is from RefSeq and is a predicted model, not a curated record. Lineage: Eukaryota; Metazoa; Arthropoda; Insecta; Lepidoptera; Nymphalidae. The transcript is spliced from 3 exons.
AUUUCAAUUUAAAAUGGGCUACAAAUGUAGCCCACGCGAGCACUUGUGAACGUUUUAGAAGCGCGUGUACCGUAGUGUUAACUAAAAUAGCCAUGCAUUCA